Molecule: transfer RNA, 63 nt
Filed under: Curculionoidea sp. 5 KM-2017
Lineage: Eukaryota; Metazoa; Arthropoda; Insecta; Coleoptera
Also listed under: 1 other name
Description: tRNA-Leu
Source: RNAcentral
AUUAUUUUGGCAGAUUAGUGCAUUAAAUUUAGAAUUUAAAUAAGUAAGUUUUUACAAAUAAUA